Antechinus flavipes (yellow-footed antechinus) is the source of this 568-nucleotide long non-coding RNA. RefSeq lists it as uncharacterized. The transcript is spliced from 2 exons. NCBI's taxonomy places the organism in Eukaryota, Metazoa, Chordata, Mammalia, Dasyuromorphia, Dasyuridae. The record is from RefSeq and is a predicted model, not a curated record.
AAUGAUGUGCUGUAAUCUCUUUACCAAUAUUGAUUUACUAUUUUUGCACCAAUAUUCAUUAAGAAAAUUGGUCUAUAAUUUUUUUUCUCUGUUUUCACCCUACCUGGUUUAGGUAUUAACACCACAUCUGUGUCAUAUAAAGAAUUUGAACUAGAUGUCCUUGGCAGGAUGAGUUCAUCACUUCAAAAUUCACAAUCAAGAUUCAAGACAAUUACAAUAGACUUGUGAUGGAACAUGCCAUCCACAUCCAGAGAGAGAACUAUGGAGACUGAAUGUGGAUCAAAGCAUAGUAUUUUCACCUUUGUGGUUGUGUGCUUGCUAAUUUUUUCUCUUUCUUAUGUUUUUCCCUUUUGAUAUGAUUUUUUAAUAGCAUGAUGAAUAUGGAAAUAUGUUUAGAAGAAUUGCAUAUUUAACCUAUAUUGGAUUGUUUGCUGAAUUGGAGGAAGAGGAGGGAGAGGGAGAAAACUUUGGAACACGAGAUUUUGUGAAAGUGAAUGCUGAAAACUAUCUUUGCAUGUAUUUGGAAAAAUAAAAUACAAAAUAAAAUAAACUCACUAUGAGGCUCCUA